AUUGAACGCUGGCGGCAGGCCUAACACAUGCAAGUCGAGCGGAUGAGGGGAGCUUGCUCCUGGAGUCAGCGGCGGACGGGUGAGUAAUGCCUAGGAAUCUGCCUGGUAGUGGGGGAUAACGUCCGGAAACGGGCGCUAAUACCGCAUACGACCUGAGGGAGAAAGUGGGGGAUCUUCGGACCUCACGCUAUCAGAUGAGCCUAGGUCGGAUUAGCUAGUUGGUGGGGUAAAGGCCUACCAAGGCGACGAUCCGUAACUGGUCUGAGAGGAUGAUCAGCCACACUGGAACUGAGACACGGCCCAGACUCCUACGGGAGGCAGCAGUGGGGAAUAUUGGACAAUGGGCGAAAGCCUGAUCCAGCCAUGCCGCGUGUGUGAAGAAGGUCUUCGGAUUGUAAAGCACUUUAAGUUGGGAGGAAGGGCAGUAAGUUAAUACCUUGCUUUUUUGACGUUACCAGCAGAAUAAGCACCGGCUAACUUCGUG
This 484-nucleotide ribosomal RNA is filed under the name uncultured bacterium. Its description in RNAcentral is "partial 16S ribosomal RNA". It matches the Rfam family "Bacterial small subunit ribosomal RNA", at positions 30 to 507 of the family's 1533-position model. The record is from RNAcentral.